AUGCGGUUUUCCCCACGGGCGGCGGGCAUGCUGUUUUCCCCACGGACAGCGACCUCAAAGUCUGCGACAUCGGCGGUUGGGGGGCGCACCCCUCCUCGCCAUUCUCCAUCGAAAGCCCUUCACUCUUCUCUGUGCGGUGCAGACCAACAGCCGUCCGGUGGGGAGAAGGCAUGGUGUCACCGACAGGAGCGCACCGCGUAG
This 201-nucleotide ribosomal RNA is filed under the name Triticum aestivum (bread wheat). RNAcentral describes it as "partial small subunit ribosomal RNA". The record is from RNAcentral. Lineage: Eukaryota; Viridiplantae; Streptophyta; Magnoliopsida; Poales; Poaceae.